This 554-nucleotide long non-coding RNA is filed under the name Triticum aestivum (bread wheat). RNAcentral describes it as "long non-coding RNA (TAES_LNC002834)". Lineage: Eukaryota; Viridiplantae; Streptophyta; Magnoliopsida; Poales; Poaceae. The record is from RNAcentral.
UUCUGCUCCAGGUUAGCCGCUUUCCAUUAUUUUUUGUUUUCUCAUUUAUGCUCAAACUACUUUUGCUUUGUCUAGGGUACAUGAACUACUUUGUUGAUUGAUCUAUAACAAUACCAUUGAUACUAGAUUACCUUGUUCAUCGGUUGUUUCACCCCUGCAUCAUCUCAACACGAAAAGCCUAUACGAGUGAGUUAUAUAAAUUACGCAAUUUUUUUAAAAAAAAUCAAAGCUUUUUGUUGAUGCUAUGACCUUAAUGGUUGGGCCCGACAUCCAUAACAAAAACCUUUGUCAUGCCUUCACAGGUUGGACCCAACAACAUCGGAGGGCGUAGCUCCUCCUUGAAGGCCUUGCGAUAAAAGAAAAGAAAGGAAAUGGCGACUUACCUAUAUGUUUCUUUUCUCAUAUUUGUCAUGGUUAUGCCAUUAUUUUCUACAUCAUGUACUCUGCUUGUAAGUAGAUGCAUUGGUCUCAUUGUGUUGUACCUUUCUUAAUAUAACUAGCAUGGUGGCGGCGGAAGUACUUACUAUUUAUUUUUAUAUUUAUGCAUGUUUUUU